Molecule: long non-coding RNA, 227 nt
Organism: Myripristis murdjan (pinecone soldierfish)
Lineage: Eukaryota; Metazoa; Chordata; Actinopteri; Holocentriformes; Holocentridae
Exons: 3
Source: RefSeq, a predicted model, not a curated record
UUUUGUCAGUCUGCUGCUGCAGUGUGGAUUAUAUGUGGAUUAUAAACACAUGGGACUCUUGUUUUUUAAGAGGAAACGCUGGUUUGAUACCAACACAAGCUGACAGAGACACCGGACAGACAGAGACACACACAUGCAAGACAUCUUGUUGGACCUGAACGCCAGGCUCGUCUGUGAUUGGCCAGUUAUCAACCGCGAGAAGAAACGGGAAGAAACCCAACUUCAAG